UCCUGGUAGCUCUGAUGGUAAAAAAUCUGCCUGCAGUGCAGAAGACCCAGGUUUGAUCCCUGGAUCAGGAA
Transfer RNA from Ovis aries (sheep), 71 nucleotides. It matches the Rfam family "tRNA". From Rfam's summary of the family: Transfer RNA (tRNA) molecules are approximately 80 nucleotides in length. Their secondary structure includes four short double-helical elements and three loops (D, anti-codon, and T loops). The record is from Rfam. NCBI's taxonomy places the organism in Eukaryota, Metazoa, Chordata, Mammalia, Artiodactyla, Bovidae.